GACCAAGCUGAGAGAGAGAGAGAGAAAAGCAACAAAAACGGCUGCCUCAUGUGCUGAAAUACAGGGACCUGCAACGUGGAUACUUAGCGUCAUAUAGCAAAACAUCUUCAAGUCCGGCGUCUUUCAGCUUGAUCACGGCUUCAACCCACGUCCUUUGCGUGUAGCACGUCUUCAAGUCCUUCACGUCUUCAACCCACGACGAUUACUCUACUCGAGUAAUUCUAUCCGUCUAACUAAUUUCCAACUUAUGUCCAACUCUGCUGGCGUGGCACCACGCCACGUCAGCCAUCAUUUAAAAAAAAAAAAAAAAAAAAUUUCAAAAUCAGCGUGAAAACGAUUUCGGUAUACCCAUUUCACCAUUUUCUCCGCAAAUCUCUUCCUCCCUCAACCCCAUCUACCGCCACCCACGACCACCACCACUGUCGAACACCCGUGAGCCCGCCACCGGUACGGACGUACAGCAGCAUCUCCGAAUAUCCGGCCAUUUGCUUCAUUUCCACCGGUGGAUACAGCUCCAUCUCCAUCUCCGGUUCGGCUUUGACGAUCCGACAACCCAACCACCGUACCGCCACGAGCAGCCCCAGCCGAGCCACCACCACCGCUGACGAGCCCAUCCACCGAAAAGUAGAAUCUGGAAGAUGUCUUGGAUUUUGGGGACAGUGUUAUUUUCUAAAGUUAAGAGAAUGGUGGUGGCCUGGUGGAUAUAAUCAUGUCCUAACUAUAGUCUUUGAAUAAUGUAAUGUGAUUUGUGGGUCUCGUCAAGAUGUGUUGACCAUCUACUGUUUGAUUGAUGCAUAUGUAAUGAGCGCAGUUGAAGAAUUAUGCUAGUUGAUGGACGAUACUUUUGUACAUGAAAUAUGGGUGUACUAGUUGGAGUUGUUGCUAAGU
Molecule: long non-coding RNA, 888 nt
Organism: Alnus glutinosa
Lineage: Eukaryota; Viridiplantae; Streptophyta; Magnoliopsida; Fagales; Betulaceae
Exons: 2
Source: RefSeq, a predicted model, not a curated record